This 515-nucleotide ribosomal RNA is filed under the name uncultured bacterium. Its description in RNAcentral is "partial 16S ribosomal RNA". It matches the Rfam family "Bacterial small subunit ribosomal RNA", at positions 28 to 523 of the family's 1533-position model. The record is from RNAcentral.
GAUGAACGCUGGCGGCGUGCCUAAUACAUGCAAGUCGAGCGAAUGGAUUGAGAGCUUGCUCUUAUGAAGUUAGCGGCGGACGGGUGAGUAACACGUGGGUAACCUGCCCAUAAGACUGGGAUAACUCCGGGAAACCGGGGCUAAUACCGGAUAACAUUUUGAACCGAAUGGUUCGAAAUUGAAAGGCGGCUUCGGCUGUUACUUAUGGAUGGACCCGCGUCGGAUUAGCAAGGUGGUGAGGUAACGGCCCACCAAGGCAACGAUGCGUAGCCGACCUGAGAGGGUGAUCGGCCACACUGGGACUGAGACACGGCCCAGACUCCUACGGGAGGCAGCAGUAGGGAAUCUUCCGCAAUGGACGAAGGUCUGACGGAGCAACGCCGCGUGAGUGAUGAAGGCUUUCGGGUCGUAAAACUCUGUUGUUAGGGAAGAACAAGUGCUAGUUGAAUAAGCUGGCACCUUGACGGUACCUAACCAGAAAGCCACGGCUAACUACGUGCCAGCCGCCGCGGUAA